CCCUUAGAUGCUCUGGGCCGCACGCGCGCUACACUGGUCGAUGCAACGAGUUUCUUUCCUUGGCCGACAGGCCUGGGCAAUCUUUGAACAUCGAUCGUGAUCGGGAUAGAUUCUUGUAAUUUUUGAUCUUAAACGAGGAAUUCCUAGUAAACGCAAGUCAUCAGCUUGCAUUGAUUACGUCCCUGCCCUUUGUACACACCGCCCGUCGCACCUACCGAUUGAAUGGUCCGGUGAAGCCUCCGGAUUGGCGCGCACCUCGGUGCCGCCGAGAAGUUGGCUAAACCUUACCAUUUAGAGGAAGGUGAANUCGUAACA
RNAcentral lists this ribosomal RNA (315 nucleotides) under uncultured eukaryote. Its description in RNAcentral is "partial 18S ribosomal RNA". It matches the Rfam family "Eukaryotic small subunit ribosomal RNA", at positions 1470 to 1796 of the family's 1831-position model. The record is from RNAcentral.